Molecule: ribosomal RNA, 371 nt
Filed under: uncultured organism
Description: bacterial SSU rRNA
Rfam family: Bacterial small subunit ribosomal RNA
Source: RNAcentral
CGGGGGGGCAAGCGUUGUUCGGAAUUACUGGGCGUAAAGGGUUCGUAGGUGGCCAACUAAGUCAGGCGUGAAAGCCCUCAGCUUAACUGGGGAACUGCGUCUGAUACUGAUUGGCUUGAGUGCAGGAGAGGAAUGCGGAAUUCCAGGUGUAGCGGUGAAAUGCGUAGAUAUCUGGAGGAACACCGGUGGCGAAGGCGGCAUUCUGGACUGCAACUGACACUGAAGAACGAAAGCCAGGGGAGCAAACGGGAUUAGAUACCCCGGUAGUCCUGGCCCUAAACGAUGAAUGCUUGGUGUGGCGGGUAUCGAUCCCCGCCGUGCCGUAGUUAACGCGUUAAGCAUUCCGCCUGGGGAGUACGGUCGCAAGGCUG